CCCGUCUGCUCUCUGUGUGGUCUAAGCCAUGCGAGUUGAAUGAGACACCUAAUCGUCUCAUAGCAAAGUGCUCAGUAACACAUGAUCAACGAGCCUAUGAAGGGAACUAACCUCGUGAAUCUGAGGAUAAUGUCUCAUAGCUGAUUCGGCUUGGAAAAGUGUUUCAGUGAAAGGGUCAUAGAAAAUGGUUUAUGUCUGUCAUAGGAUGGGAUUGUGGUCGAUUAGGUAGUUGGUGAGAUAAAGGCUCACCAAGCCGAUAAUCGAUAGGGGCCGUGAGAGCGGGAGCCUCGAGAUGGGUACUGAGACAGCGACCCAGGCCCUACGGGGCGCAGCAGGCGCGAAACCUCCGCAAUACACGCAAGUCUGACGGGGCUACCCAAAGUGCUCCAUAUAGGAGCUGUGGUAGAUGAGUAAUGUUCUUUACUAGAAAGGAGAGGGCAAGGCUGGUGCCAGCCGCCGCGGUAAAACCAGCUCUUCAAGUGGUCGGGAUAAUUAUUGGGCUUAAAGUGUCCGUAGCUGGUAAGGUAAGUUCCUGGUAAAAUGGGGCAGCUUAACUGUCUUUAUGCUAGGAAUACUGCUUUACUAGAGGGCGGGAGAGGUUUGAGGUACUACAGGGGUAGGGGUGAAAUCUUAUAAUCCUUGUAGGACCACCAGUGGCGAAGGCGUCAGACUGGAACGCGCCUGACAGUGAGGGACGAAACCCAGGGGAGCGAACCGGAUUAGAUACCCGGGUAGUCCUGGCCGUAAACAAUGCACACUAGAUGAUGGUGCGGCCAUGAGCCGUAUCAGUGUCGUAGGGAAACCGUUAAGUGUGCCGCCUGGGAAGUACGGUCGCAAGGCUUAAACUUAAAGGAGUUGGCGGGGGAGCUCCACAAGGGGUGAAGCCUGCGGUUC
RNAcentral lists this ribosomal RNA (894 nucleotides) under uncultured archaeon. RNAcentral describes it as "bacterial SSU rRNA". It matches the Rfam family "Archaeal small subunit ribosomal RNA", at positions 21 to 903 of the family's 1478-position model. The record is from RNAcentral.